CCUACGGGGGGCUGCAGUAGGGAAUUUUCCGCAAUGGGCGAAAGCCUGACGGAGCAAUACCGCGUGAGGGAUGACUGCCUAUGGGUUGUAAACCUCUUUUUUCAGGGAGGAAUAAAUGACGUGUACCUGAAGAAUAAGCAUCGGCUAACUCCGUGCCAGCAGCCGCGGUAAGACGGAGGAUGCAAGUGUUAUCCGGAAUCACUGGGCGUAAAGCGUCUGUAGGUGGCUCGACAAGUCAACUGUUAAAUCUUGAAGCUCAACUUCAAAAUCGCAGUCGAAACUAUCGGACUAGAGUAUAGUAGAGGUAAAGGGAAUUUCCAGUGGAGCGGUGAAAUGCGUAGAGAUUGGAAAGAACACCGAUGGCGAAGGCACUUUACUGGGCUAUUACUGACACUCAGAGACGAAAGCUAGGGUAGCAAAUGGGAUUAGAUACCCAAGUAGUC
This 443-nucleotide ribosomal RNA is filed under the name uncultured bacterium. Its description in RNAcentral is "bacterial SSU rRNA". It matches the Rfam family "Bacterial small subunit ribosomal RNA", at positions 338 to 795 of the family's 1533-position model. The record is from RNAcentral.